GACGAACGCUGGCGGCGUGCUUAACACAUGCAAGUCGAACGGAAAGGCCCUGCUUUUGUGGGGUGCUCGAGUGGCGAACGGGUGAGUAACACGUGAGUAACCUGCCCUUGACUUUGGGAUAACUUCAGGAAACUGGGGCUAAUACCGGAUAGGAGCUCCUGCUGCAUGGUGGGGGUUGGAAAGUUUCGGCGGUUGGGGAUGGACUCGCGGCUUAUCAGCUUGUUGGUGGGGUAGUGGCCUACCAAGGCUUUGACGGGUAGCCGGCCUGAGAGGGUGACCGGCCACAUUGGGCCUGGGAUACGGCCCAGACUCCUACGGGAGGCAGCAGUGGGAAUAUUGCACAAUGGGCGGAAGCCUGAUGCAGCAACGCCGCGUGCGGGAUGACGGCCUUCGGGUUGUAAACCGCUUUCGCCUGUGACGAAGCGUGAGUGACGGUAAUGGGUAAAGAAGCACCGGCUAACUACGUG
RNAcentral lists this ribosomal RNA (467 nucleotides) under uncultured bacterium. Its description in RNAcentral is "partial 16S ribosomal RNA". It matches the Rfam family "Bacterial small subunit ribosomal RNA", at positions 28 to 507 of the family's 1533-position model. The record is from RNAcentral.